CCCGCUUCUUAUGAAAGUCUCUUAUGUACUUAUCGUUUAGGCAACUUGAUGAUUUUUUUUUUGUACAAUGUCAAUGUCUAGAAGCUAAACUCUUAAUUACCGUGAUCAACAAAGAGGACAAGAUCGGAAUCAAGGUACUGAGGGAUGAAGAGACUAUUAGGUUCCAUGGAGAUGAAACCAAUAUGCAUUGGACUAUGUAGAAAUGAACCCCUUCAGUAGCCACCCUUCACCAUUCUCAUCGACCCAGCAUCAGUUUUCACAACAUCAUGUAACUGACGCAGCAAGAACCAUUUUUCUCCUUGUGUUCUUUGCUCACUUUCUUCUUCUUCUUCUUCUUCUCUUUCUCUUCUUCCUUCAUAUUCAUAGCCAGCAACAGAGGCCACUAGUGUCGAGAAAAGUACCAGCACUAGAAGCAGUACUGUCCUAUUUCCCAUUUUCAACUCGUUAUAAAGAAGAAUGUGUUCUAAGCUUUCGUUAUAAUCAGUUUUGAUUUACUGAUGUAUUAGGUGCUGGCUGUGUGGUUUAUAUAGAGUAUAUUGAGAUUUGAGGGAAGCUAUUUUCAAUCAUGCAUAAUUUUUAGGCUUUUCUUUUGUAAUAUAGACGUUGAGAUCCUGAAAAAUAUAUGCUGACGAAAAAAACACUUGUAUACAUAAAAAAAUGAAAUAGAGAAACUUCAAUUUGAUGACCAUUUCAAAGGGCUAAUCUAACGCAAUAAAAGAAAGGACCUAAGUUGUAUAUGCACGUACGUAAACACAAUUAAUAACGCAUAAUACAUAAAUAUAUACUUAAAUUUAGCCUCAACUGACAAGUAAACACUCUUAACUUUGACAGUGUUCAUGUUAGAAUUUGGAGCUAAAAGAGAAGAGAAAAGAUAAAAGUUUCAGCAGUAGCUGCUUUCAUUCAUACAUUCAUCACACAUACAUUCAUUCAUACAUUCAACAUUCAUUCAUACAUAAUCAACAUCUUACAAAACACUAUACUUAUAAGCUACAUGAAUCUUACAAGACACACUCAUAAGUCUUACAAGACACUCUAUCUUACAAGACACACUUAACAAAAAUAAGGACUACUAUUCAUUUAAAAACUAAACAUAAUAUUUUUUUAAAAAAUCUCAUAUUCUAACACUCCCCCUUGAGAUUUUUCUUGGAUACUCCCAGCAUAAUCUUCAUCUUAUUCAUUGGGAUAUCAUCCAUUUCAUCAUCUAACUCAACCUUAUCAAAUUCAUCAUCAUCAUCAUCCACAUCGUCAGUCAAAUCGUCAUCCGCAGGCAAAGCAGCAAACUUGACAGCCUUUUGGUUCUGAUUUUUGCCCAAGGGGGAAAGUUUGAGGUCCUCUAAUUGUGGGGGGUAGCUUCAGAUCUUGUAACCCCUUAAGCUGCUGCAUUUGUUGCUGGUUUGGGAUUUGAGCUCCUCCUCCAUUAGCACCCAUCAUUGGAUUCAUCUGGGCUCCAGGAUUACCACCCAUCAUAGCCUUCUUCAUAUAUAAAGUGGCUUCAUUUUCACUUCUGUUCAAGCCACAAUGAAUGAGAUGAUCAUCAAUCUUAUUGUACCAUGCUCGAGGAGUUUGUUUUAAUGCCUUAUGUAAUCUGUCUUUGGGUUUGUCAACCAGCUUCCAAGUGUCAUUCUUCUCAAUCAUACCAAUCUCCUCCUUCAUUGCUUUAAUCAAAAAUUCAUGUUUUGAUGCUUCAUCAUAGGUAUUGGGUUCCAAGAUUGCAAUAUUGCAUCUUUCAUAUAUCUCGAAAAGGGACCUUGUCUUCAAAAUUGGUGAAUCAAGUGAGGAUUCACCAUCCUCUGCUUCAAAAUUUGGCACGUUCCCUACAUAUGCUUAUUGUUUUUCCUAAUAAUGUCAUAUUUGCUCUCUCUUGCACUUUAGAAACGAUUAUGUCUCUCCCUACAUAUGCUUAUUGUUUUUCCUAAUAAUGUCAUAUUUGCUCUCUCUUGCACUUUAGAAACGAUUAUGUCUCUCCCUACAUAUGCUUAUUGUUUUUCCUAAUGCCAUAUUUGCUUUCUCUUACACUUUAGAAACGAUUGUCUUACAGAAGGUUUAAGUGACGCAGUGUUCCGAGUCUGAUCACUGCUUUCACCUGGAAUGGAUCAUAAAGGAAAAAAUGGCAUUUAAAUCAAUCAAUGCGUGUGAAGACAGUUUUCGAAUGAUCAAUUGUAUAAGAACUGCACUGCCCUGCCGCAUUACUUCAAAUACUAUUGAGUAAAAUUGAGAAUAAGCAAUAUUGUUUUUCCGUCAAGUUGUAAUGGUGGAAUGGUAUUUUAUCAUUAUGUUUGUUCCUAGGAGCGAGUAGUUUCUUUCAUUGCGCUGAGGCACUAGUUCAUUGUUAAACCACAAACAGAAUUCAUGUCAAGGAAACCAAUCCGUCUUAUUCACAACUCAAGGGCAAUGCAUCUUGCUUCCAAGGAAACAAGUUAACUCAGACUGAAUAACAGGACGAAAAAAAAAGUAACAAAAUUGGCUUCGAGCUUUCGUGUCAUAAUUUAACAGGACCAACGACGUACUGAAGUUUCUAAGAAACUAAUAAGAACCAGUUUUCAUCCUCAGAGGAGAAUCUGACGAUGAUGAAGGCAAGAUGACUUGUUCACGUUGCGCAUUGACAAUCCUUUCAAGUCUUUUCUGACCAAUUCCAAAUGCAGCUGCAAAUUCUGGCCCUCUCAAGCUUUGCAUCAAUGAGUUCCUACCCACCAAGAACUGUGGAUGGUUCCUCCUUGCUGAUGUUGUGAAGCCGAAGAACUCAAAUGGGCCAUUCGUUGAAGCAAUUUGGCAGAUCGGGAAGUACCGUGGCACCCAAAAAACAUCUCCCUCUCUUACUCUAGCGUUCAUGGCUAAAGUCCCAUUCGGAUACACAAUUUGUAUCCUGCCAGCACCCUUCAACACCACUCCAUACUCUAUAGCUCUUUGAUUAACAUGAGGUGCCAUGAUGGAUCCCUACAUUUAUCAAGAAACGUAGAUUAAACAUGUAAGCAAGAAAAGAAACAUGCAGCAGAUCAGUUUUGCUUUCACAUGAGGGGAUUUGAACCACUGACCAAAGGUCACCACUUGUAUGGGGCAAGUUUACACUUUUUAAGUCGGUGAGUGAGAUGAUUUACCGGAGAUAGAUUCACUAGAUAAACGCCAUUGCCAGAUUGUUGUAGAGGAGAAUAAUCAGACUCAUCCAAUUUCUUGCUCCAUCCGUAAUUGUUCUUGAAAUCGGGGUUCUUGCUGUAGAUAUUGUACGCUGAUGGAGCAUUGUGAUUCACUCUCUUUACAUCUUUUCUGUUUAAUAAAGCACACAAUAAUUUCCUCAAUGACCAUGUAGAUUCCUCCUCUUUUGGGCUAACUUCUUCCUCCAAAUUCACAAUCCUCUUCAAGUGAGCUAAUUUCUGAAGGGAUUCUUGGGUGACGAAUUUGGUCCAAACGUUUGUGUGAUGAGAACCAGAUAAAUGCACGAUUGGUCCGGAAGAUUGCCUGGUCAAGAACCUCCUUAGUUCUGCUGUCGAGACCUGGAGUUUUACAUAAUUUUGAUUCAAUUUGUUGUCCCUCUGAUAAAUGUAGUAAGAAAAAUUAAAUUCCCUUGAAUACUCACAUUAAGAGCAGUUGAUAAUGUGUUAUGAUCGAAUCCAGCAAGAACGGAUGCUGGAUGAAUUCCACCACCAAUGAAGAAAGACUGAAAAAUAGUUACCCGAAGUUACUACGAAGCUUUGGGAAGAAAUAGGACGAUAAACCAAAGACAAGAAAUAGAUCAAGUGAUAAUUUUUUGAUAAUUUGACCAAGGCUACCUGGAAAGCAUGCCAUCCCAUGGAUUCUGAGGUAAUAUCAAUGCUGCAAAUAAUGCGAAGUCUUUCUUUUUCAGCUCUAUUUUCCAAAUAGAAAGCUGAUCCAGCAGGUAUUGUGUACACAUCUCCAUGCUUCAAAUGCCUUUCUACUAAUUCAUUCCUAUAGAUGUUUCCAACUCUUGCUUCCCCUGUAUUCAAUUCAUAACAAAUGGACAUCAGGCUUAUAAUUUAAUUUCUAUACUACACGUGAAUUUUAACCUGUUAAUGUUUUUCCAGGCUAUUAGUCCCGCUUCUUAUGAAAGUCUCUUAUGUACUUAUCGUUUAGGCAACUUGAUGAUUUUUUUUUUGUACAAUGUCAAUGUCUAGAAGCUAAACUCUUAAUUACCGUGAUCAACAAAGAGGACAAGAUCGGAAUCAAGGUACUGAGGGAUGAAGAGACUAUUAGGUUCCAUGGAGAUGAAACCAAUAUGCAUUGGACUAUGUAGAAAUGAACCCCUUCAGUAGCCACCCUUCACCAUUCUCAUCGACCCAGCAUCAGUUUUCACAACAUCAUGUAACUGACGCAGCAAGAACCAUUUUUCUCCUUGUGUUCUUUGCUCACUUUCUUCUUCUUCUUCUUCUUCUCUUUCUCUUCUUCCUUCAUAUUCAUAGCCAGCAACAGAGGCCACUAGUGUCGAGAAAAGUACCAGCACUAGAAGCAGUACUGUCCUAUUUCCCAUUUUCAACUCGUUAUAAAGAAGAAUGUGUUCUAAGCUUUCGUUAUAAUCAGUUUUGAUUUACUGAUGUAUUAGGUGCUGGCUGUGUGGUUUAUAUAGAGUAUAUUGAGAUUUGAGGGAAGCUAUUUUCAAUCAUGCAUAAUUUUUAGGCUUUUCUUUUGUAAUAUAGACGUUGAGAUCCUGAAAAAUAUAUGCUGACGAAAAAAACACUUGUAUACAUAAAAAAAUGAAAUAGAGAAACUUCAAUUUGAUGACCAUUUCAAAGGGCUAAUCUAACGCAAUAAAAGAAAGGACCUAAGUUGUAUAUGCACGUACGUAAACACAAUUAAUAACGCAUAAUACAUAAAUAUAUACUUAAAUUUAGCCUCAACUGACAAGUAAACACUCUUAACUUUGACAGUGUUCAUGUUAGAAUUUGGAGCUAAAAGAGAAGAGAAAAGAUAAAAGUUUCAGCAGUAGCUGCUUUCAUUCAUACAUUCAUCACACAUACAUUCAUUCAUACAUUCAACAUUCAUUCAUACAUAAUCAACAUCUUACAAAACACUAUACUUAUAAGCUACAUGAAUCUUACAAGACACACUCAUAAGUCUUACAAGACACUCUAUCUUACAAGACACACUUAACAAAAAUAAGGACUACUAUUCAUUUAAAAACUAAACAUAAUAUUUUUUUAAAAAAUCUCAUAUUCUAACACUCCCCCUUGAGAUUUUUCUUGGAUACUCCCAGCAUAAUCUUCAUCUUAUUCAUUGGGAUAUCAUCCAUUUCAUCAUCUAACUCAACCUUAUCAAAUUCAUCAUCAUCAUCAUCCACAUCGUCAGUCAAAUCGUCAUCCGCAGGCAAAGCAGCAAACUUGACAGCCUUUUGGUUCUGAUUUUUGCCCAAGGGGGAAAGUUUGAGGUCCUCUAAUUGUGGGGGGUAGCUUCAGAUCUUGUAACCCCUUAAGCUGCUGCAUUUGUUGCUGGUUUGGGAUUUGAGCUCCUCCUCCAUUAGCACCCAUCAUUGGAUUCAUCUGGGCUCCAGGAUUACCACCCAUCAUAGCCUUCUUCAUAUAUAAAGUGGCUUCAUUUUCACUUCUGUUCAAGCCACAAUGAAUGAGAUGAUCAUCAAUCUUAUUGUACCAUGCUCGAGGAGUUUGUUUUAAUGCCUUAUGUAAUCUGUCUUUGGGUUUGUCAACCAGCUUCCAAGUGUCAUUCUUCUCAAUCAUACCAAUCUCCUCCUUCAUUGCUUUAAUCAAAAAUUCAUGUUUUGAUGCUUCAUCAUAGGUAUUGGGUUCCAAGAUUGCAAUAUUGCAUCUUUCAUAUAUCUCGAAAAGGGACCUUGUCUUCAAAAUUGGUGAAUCAAGUGAGGAUUCACCAUCUGAUUCUUCAUUUUCUUCUAUAUUUUCAGAGCCAAAUGAUUGUGUUUUAGGCAGCAGAUGCAAGUUUAGAUAACCUACAUUUUCUUGCUCAUACAUAGACCUUAAAGUGGCAUAGUUAAAAUGCCCAUAUCUUCUGUGCCAUAACCGUGAAUCGUCCAUCCUUGCAAAGUUGGAACUAUCGAAAUUUUCAUCUACCGGAAAGGUCCUAUCCACCAUUUCUACUUUAACAAUCAAAGUAUCAUCAGAAUUAAAAAUCAAAUAAUGUUUUUCCUUAAAAAGUAAGGAGUAACCUUUCGACAUCAUUUGGCCAACACUCAACAAAUUACAUGCUAAAGAAAGAACAUACAACACAUCAUGUAUAAGCUUUGUACCUUGUUUAGUUUCUAAGGAAACUAAACCCUUUCAUGUGCUUCUAGUACUGCACCAUUUCCCAUCCUAACUUUAGCUUUGACUGACUUGUCAAGUGUGUGAAACAUGAGCUCAUUAUAUGAUAUGUGACUCGUGCAUCCACUGUCUAAGAACCAUUUGGAUUAGUUAUUUGUGCUUUCUUCAUAAGUAGCCAUAAACAAGCUUUCUUCCUUUUCUGAAUCUUUAGUGAAAUUUGCCUGUUAAACAUGUUAUUGUGGUUGAUUCUGCUUGGCCCUACAAUUCUUCUCAAUAUGACCCAUUUUUCUACAGAAUCUGCAUUAAAUUUAUGGUUUUCCUUUGAACCAACAAUCCUUUUCUUGAUGAUUGGUUCUUUUACAAUGGAGGCAAGGUGGAAACCUACCUUUUUGUGGAGAUUCCAUCCAUGGCUUUCUCUCUACUACUGUAUCUCCUUCCAUUCUCCCAUUGUUCUUCAUAAGUUGCUUGUCUUUGUGCUUUGCUUGAAAUGCCACUUCUUCUACUUCUUCAUCUCUUAUACUUGUUCUUUGUUCUUGGGCUUGCAAUUUGCUAAUCAUCUCUGUGACGGACAAAGUCUUCAAAUUACAAGAUUUCUCUAUUGCUGAAAUCUUGGACUCGAACCUUGCUGGUAAGCUUAUCAUCAUCUUCUCCACCACCUUUGAAUCUGGAAAUAUUUUACCAAAUAAUAUUAUUUUGUUUACAAUUUCCAUAAGUUUGGCAGAGUACUCCUUUACUGUAUCUCUUUCUUUCAUCCUUAACAUCUCAAAUUCUCUUUUGAGAGUUAAGAGUUUGACAGUUUUCACUCUGUCACUUCCAUCGACCUCCUCUUUUAGCUUCUCUCAUACUUCUUUAGGUGUUUCACAAGCCAUUAUUCUUCUGAAAAUCACAUCUGAAAGUGCUGAAUGAAGACACGUGAGGGCCUUUGGUUUCUUGGACUUUGCAUCUUCAUAAAUCUUCAUUUGUGCAACAAUUAGAUUUGGUCCCAAUGGAGGGGGAUCAUUUUCACUUUCAACUAUUUCCCAUAGACUAAGAGCUUUGAGAUAAGCCUUCAUCUUUAUCACCCAUAUGUGAUAAUUUUCUCUUGUAAACAUAGGAGGACCUGUGUAACACCCCGUAUUCAAGUACAUGUAUUGGCGUAUUCAAGUACGUGUAUUGGUCUUAUUUAUAUGGAAUUAAUUUUUUAUUUUAUUUAUACCAGAAUUUUCCCAUCGAUGGUUCCAUACGAAGGUUAUUGAAUAAGCUUUCCAACGAUAUAAAGAUUUUCAAAAACGGAUAAGUUUCGGAUAUGAUCGAGCACGUUCGAAACUAUAAAACGGUGGCCGGGAUAUGGUGAAUAGUAACUCCCUUAAUAUAAUGAACUGGGAGAGAUAAGACCUAUCAAAAGAAAGAUCUUUGAGUCUUCUUUCCAAUCCAAUUGGUUUCAUCCAAAUCCAACGUAUGAGUAAGGAGUUAUACUCGUUUUACUUUAGCCUCUCAAAACAGAUUUUUAGGGUCAACUUCAAACGAUCAUAACUCCUUGUACAGGACGAACUGGGUGGCCUACUUUAUAUGAAAUNNNNNNNNNNNNNNNNNNNNNNNNNNNNNNNNNNNNNNNNNNNNNNNNNNNNNNNNNNNNNNNNNNNNNNNNNNNNNNNNNNNNNNNNNNNNNNNNNNNNNNNNNNNNNNNNNNNNNNNNNNNNNNNNNNNNNNNNNNNNNNNNNNNNNNNNNNNNNNNNNNNNNNNNNNNNNNNNNNNNNNNNNNNNNNNNNNNNNNNNNNNNNNNNNNNNNNNNNNNNNNNNNNNNNNNNNNNNNNNNNNNNNNNNNNNNNNNNNNNNNNNNNNNNNNNNNNNNNNNNNNNNNNNNNNNNNNNNNNNNNNNNNNNNNNNNNNNNNNNNNNNNNNNNNNNNNNNNNNNNNNNNNNNNNNNNNNNNNNNNNNNNNNNNNNNNNNNNNNNNNNNNNNNNNNNNNNNNNNNNNNNNNNNNNNNNNNNNNNNNNNNNNNNNNNNNNNNNNNNNNNNNNNNNNNNNNNNNNNNNNNNNNNNNNNNNNNNNNNNNNNNNNNNNNNNNNNNNNNNNNNNNNNNNNNNNNNNNNNNNNNNNNNNNNNNNNNNNNNNNNNNNNNNNNNNNNNNNNNNNNNNNNNNNNNNNNNNNNNNNNNNNNNNNNNNNNNNNNNNNNNNNNNNNNNNNNNNNNNNNNNNNNNNNNNNNNNNNNNNNNNNNNNNNNNNNNNNNNNNNNNNNNNNNNNNNNNNNNNNNNNNNNNNNNNNNNNNNNNNNNNNNNNNNNNNNNNNNNNNNNNNNNNNNNNNNNNNNNNNNNNNNNNNNNNNNNNNNNNNNNNNNNNNNNNNNNNNNNNNNNNNNNNNNNNNNNNNNNNNNNNNNNNNNNNNNNNNNNNNNNNNNNNNNNNNNNNNNNNNNNNNNNNNNNNNNNNNNNNNNNNNNNNNNNNNNNNNNNNNNNNNNNNNNNNNNNNNNNNNNNNNNNNNNNNNNNNNNNNNNNNNNNNNNNNNNNNNNNNNNNNNNNNNNNNNNNNNNNNNNNNNNNNNNNNNNNNNNNNNNNNNNNNNNNNNNNNNNNNNNNNNNNNNNNNNNNNNNNNNNNNNNNNNNNNNNNNNNNNNNNNNNNNNNNNNNNNNNNNNNNNNNNNNNNNNNNNNNNNNNNNNNNNNNNAAUGGCGAAUGAUAAUUGUAAAGAAUAAAAUGAACGAAUGUAUACCGUUCCACAAAUGUGUUUGAAUUCAAGAACCCAAUUCAGAUUAAUGAUAAUGUAUAUGAUCCUAAAAGUGUUUAUGAAGUGCGGUUCACUUCUAUUAUGAUUUAUUCACUUGCGUCUGAUUUUCUGGAUCCCCCAUAUCACAUAUGAUUAUUUACAGCUUUACAUACUCAGUACAUAUUUCGUACUGACGUUCCUCACAGGGGACCUGCGUUUCAUGCUGCAGGCACAGGUGCUUCAACUAGAGGCUUUGUAGACAUAAGGAAGGGUAAAGUCAUGGAAGUUUAUAUAGUGAUGUUAUAUUUGUAUAUGUGGUGGCCCCGACGACCAAGUAUUAUAUAUAUUUAUAUUUGUGCGUGUUGUGCUGAUACAGGUAAUUAGACCCUUCUAUAUGCAACGAAGUGCUGUCCAAAUUUUUGGUGACAUGUAAGUGAAAGUACAGGUAUUUGAACGGGUUCUCCCGGGCCUUCUCGGUUUUGGGUGCCAGUCCGGCCCGAUGGAAUUUUGGGUCGUGACAACCUGCACCCAAGAAGCUAUUGGAUGCCAUGUUACUGCUGUUCAGGUUUCUUUUUUUUAGAAGAUCUGAAAAAACUUACCUUUAGGCCUUCACAGAUCCCUCAAGAAGGUUGGCUCUUGAUACCACUGUUAGAAUUUGGAGCUAAAAGAGAAGAGAAAAGAUAAAGUUUCAGUAGUAGCUGCUUUCAUUCAUACAUUCAUCAUGUUGACACCUAAUUUUUGCCCUCUAUAACCUAGUUUAAUUUUGAGCUUCCUCGGUUUUUGAUAAAAUCAAAAUAUUUAUUUCGUAUGAAUAGAAAUUUCUCAAAAAAAAAAAAAGCAUCUGGGCAAGUUUGUCAUCUUAAGUGAUGAUUAUACAUUAUCGUAUUCAAUUAUACGAAAUUACGUAAUUUUAUUACUUAAAUAACUAUUUUACGGAAUAUCGGAUUUUAAUCAAGGAUUAUUUUGAAGAUAAAUUCAAAUGGAUAAAGUCUUGAUUUUAAAUAUGAUUUGCUCUCGAAAAUAAUUUAUUUGGACAAAUAUUUGUUUAAUUUUAUCAAAUCAAGAAGAUCAAGAUUAAAUAAGGUAUUAAUUCGUAUCGAAUCUCAAUUAAAUUUAGUCAAUUUAUUAAAUUAGACCAUAAUUGAAAUCAAGUUGAUCAAAAUUGGAAUGAAAUUGAUCAAAUUGAUAUCCAAUUUGGUUAAGAUUUAAGUAAAAUUGGCUAAAAAUUAAUUUUGUUUGGCCAUUUUUAAAUUACCAAAUUUCUACCCUUUUUUAUUUUAAAUUGGACCCAUUAACAUUCAGCAACAACAACAUUUAAAGUUGGCCCAACCAGCCCAAUAUCCCUUUAGUAACCAGCCCAGCCGGGUUUCGACCCGACCCACCCCUUCCAUUCCCCUUCUUCUCUAAAACAAGAACACUCUAACCUCAGUCUUAAACACCAACAGCAACAUCACGCGAAUCCACCAUCUCCGAUAACCCAAACCCGUCUUCAACCCGCGACCAACGAAAAAACCCGACCUCAAGCUGUUUGUGGUAUUCUUCACGCGUUCCACGCAAUAGUACAACGAGGAAGGACCUCGAAGCUUCUAGAAAUGGGUGAGUUGGCUCGCCCCAACGUCCAAAUUCCGUGAUUUUUGGGAUAACUUGUACGAAUCCGUACAUUGGUAGAGAUUUCUAAUUGGUUCUUGAGGAUGAUUCCCCUUUCUCCAAUUUGGAUUGGUUUGCCUUAUUUCAAAAUUCAUCGGGUUGUACAAGCGGUUAGACAGCAUACCUAUCAAAAUUUUGGAAUUCAAAUUUCCUUUUUGUUUUUUUCCUAACUUACCCCCAUAAACGAACCCUAGCCUAUUCUCUAUAAAAGGCUAUUUAGAAGGCUGAAGAGGGGGAUUUUUUUUAGGUUCUAGGGUUUCGAAAAACUGAAGAAGAAAUCUUUAUUGAGAGUUGAAGGGGAUUCAAAAAUUGGGAGGUGAAAAUUUAAGGUUCGAGAAUUAGGUUCGAGAAUUCGAGAAGAGAAUCAACAUUAACAUUUCUUUUUAGAAAACAAAUUUCCUUUUCUAUCUUCCUCUGAGAGUUAGCUAAUUAGUUAGAGGGUAUCGAGUUGAUAACACUAAGCUUCGUUGGUGGUCGACGUCGCGAGACUCCGGUAGCGAUGAUUUUACUGAUAAUUCAUCGUCCCGUUUACCGCCCCGAACAAGAUUUCUUUCAGUGGUGGUAGAUUCUAAGAUCGAGUCUCACUUUGCUGCUCCAAAAAGGUAAAUACACCAUCGUCCUUCUUUUUGCUUCAAUUUAGUAUUUCCUGCUUCACCCCUCUUUCUUCGUAGUUAGUUAUCUGUUUGUAGAUGAAUGAGGCUGGGUUGUUUGCUGUAGAGGCUGCAAUGGGCCAUGGGUUCCUCUUUAGUAUGGAAGAAUGUUUAGUGGAGUUGUUAUGUUAGGUUGUUUCCUGUUUGAAUUUUUUGAUGUGUGGUUUAUGUCGUUCUCGUCUCGAUUUUAUAGUCUGUCUAAUAAUCUCGACAUUAUCAAGUACUUUUUGAUAUGGAUCCUUAUCUUGUGUACUCUCUGUGUCUUGAAUCUCCGGUUUUAUGGUCAAAAUUCAUGUCUUGAUUCUUGUUUAAUAGUGCAUCCUGAUUUUUUAUCUCGUUCGAAGUUGAUGUAAGACGCUUUUUCUUGUCUGUUGUUAUUGUUGGGAUGCCGUCAUAACUGUCGAUCUCGAUAGGACCACCUCUUGAUAUCCUUCGGCUUCUCAAAUUCCAAAAGACGGAUGAAGAAACGUCCUACAAUAGGCUAGAAAAUCCUAUGUUUCCUCGAUAGUCGUUUUGACUGUUAAAACUCGUUUGGGUUUGUCAAAAGAGGAUGAGGUUGAUAGUAUCACCCUGCCACCCUCCCUUUUAGCCUUAUCUGUUGUGUUUUCCGUGUGUGGAUUUGAAUUCUUUUUAUCCUUCCUUGUCUUUUAAGUUUGUUACCGGUGCGUGGUUGGGUUAGGGAGAUGAAUGAAAUAGUUGGGGUAUCUUAGUACGCCUAUUUAAAGGGAAUGAUCUAAUUUUGUUUUUUUUUUCUUAUGGAAAUGGAGCGUCACUGUCAUAUGUCCCUAUGAAUACCUAUUGACAGUGGAAAAUAGGUCAAUUUUGUUUCUUUAAUGCGUUUCAAUCAAUUUCUUAAAUCGCGUGCUUAUGUUUUAGGUACGAAUUUCCCAAAAUAGAUCGCAACCCGUGUUCUCCUAUCCCUAAUAACAUAAGAGUAUUAUAUAGUUUGGUAUAAAUUGGUUUAUUUAAAGCGCUUCACUGCAUUUCGAUUUUUAGUAUCGGAAAUGGAUAGUGUUCUUGAUCUGAGUGAGACCUUCCUUGUUUUCCUUAGUCGGAUUGGCUUGUAUAGUGUUUUACUUGUUAAAAUUUUCUUAGUUUUCUGUGUAUUCCUUAUCAUUAGUAAGCACCUGAACCUAUUAGUUAGUCACAAAAGGCAUCGAUUGCGACUUACUAUUAAUGCACAGUUCCUUAACAAAUGUUGUAACAUCUUUAUACUGUGACAAGUGAAAGUUUUUUUUUAUAUAUCCAACGCUUUCACUUAAUGAUCAUUACAUUAGGUUAGGAAAACUGAAGCCCUUCACUGGAAUUGUUUCAUGUAUAUGCACAUUUCUAUGCAAAAUUACUAGGGUGUGAUAUAUUGUUCUCUCUUUGAUUCCCAUAUUAAAGGUCCAAAAUUAGUUACAUGUCGUAAGUUCAUUAAUCUUGUAGCCAGUUUCUCCUUCAUACUUGAUGAUAGAAGUAGUAACUCUCGAAAGCUUUAAGUUUUCUUAAUUUUCUUUGUUAUCUAAAUAUUUGAACGCUUAUUAACUCAUAUAUAUAUUUUUUUUCUCCGCAUGAAUUCACCUGGAGUCCAAACGGACCCUCUUUCUUUUCAUUCCUUAAUGGGGCCAAUGAGGCUCAUCUCAGGGCCAAGCUUGAGGUUCUAAGCUCAAAAGCGAUCCCUUGGCACAUGUACACGUGGAGUUAGGGAAGGACAAUAGAUUAAAGUUCUACGUUUGGAGCAGUUAAGAGGAGAUUAAAGGCAUAUGUUUGGAGCGGUUAAGAGGCGUCAAAAGUCUCCUUCGUCGUCUUAUUUACUAUUUUAUUUAUUUAUUUAUUCAUUUAUUCGGGCCAUGAAGCAAAAGUUCUACUUAAUACAGGUGAAGCAAAAACUCGAGCCAAAGGGCCCGAAAAUAUAGAAAUAGGACAGGUGAAAGGAGAAAUGGGUUGAAAAACCAACUAGAAUAGGACAGGUUUAGCGAUUUCGGCUUCAAAGCCUAAAUCACUAAUUCUCCUCCCUUCCCCUUUCUUUUGAUUAUUUGUUUUGCAUGCCUUUUUUGCGAACCUAGUCAAAUCCCCUAACGAAUUUGCUAAAAAUUAACUUUCGCAAACUUUCAAAGUAUUUCUAAAAGUCAACCAUUUUUCAAUAAAUCAAAUUUUAGAAAGUUAAUCAAAGACGUUUUCAAACAGUCCAGAUAAUCGCAAGUUAGUGGUCGUUUUAGGUGCCUAACACCUUCCUAAAACGUUAAUAGGAACCGCUUACUCAAAAUUUCUUAACUCAAACGAUUUUCCUAUUUUGAAUCGUUUGAAGUACUUUACAAAGGUUUCUUAAUUCCUUUUUAAAAUUAAGUGGCGACUCUCUUAAAAGUCAAAAUUUCUCCGCAAAAUCGAAAUGGCGACUCUGCUGGGGACCUAACUAGGUUCUAACCAAAUGUUUUAUUUCGUAUUUGAUUAACUAUUUAUGUGUUUAUGUGUUUCAAUUAUGUAAAGUUUAAUUAUCGUAUCUCAUGGCAUUUCCUGCAUCUUAUAAACUGUUUUAGGGUUUCAUGGAUGUCCCGGCCCUUGUUGUUCAAUUCCAAAAUGUGUUGGAAAUACGAAUAGCUUAUUAGCACAUUAGUCGUCUGACGCUGUUCGUAUUUUCAAACUCAAGUUGUGCGCUUGAGAACCAGUGUCCAAGCCCACUCUAGACAUCGAGGAUAGAACGAAACCAAAACCCUAUUUUAGGCAUAUGCCUAGGACGACCCAAUAUCCGAGCGGGGCAUUGGGCCCAUUAGAAAACCUUCCCUAUGUAUAUUUGACCCCGAGUCAAUCACUGAAGAACCAUGCUUAUGUGUUGAAGAAAUAUAUGCUUGUCUAAAUUCAAUAUGUUAUCCUUUGGGGUCGGGGAAAGGCUUAUUUUGUCUUCUUUUAUGUAGAUAUGACUCAAUUGCAUUCUCGUGAAAAGUUCAAGAUGGUCACCAAACCCGACGAUUACUUGAAACUGUGGUGGGAUUACAUGGGUACAGAAGAGAGAAAGAUUGUUAGAACACACAUUGGGCAUCUUCCUUCUUUGAUCGAGAUGGACGCUUGGCCCGAAAUGAUCCAUGUACUAACAACUUUUUGGAAUGAUUAGAACAUGGUAUUUCGCUUCGGGGAUGUUGAAUUUACCCCCACCAUUGAAGAGGUAUUGAUUUGCUAGGAGAUUACGGAAAUGUGUUUUAAGAGAAAGGAGACACCGAAUAAGAAUAUUUUAGUCCCAGAUGUGUGGGAUCGUCAAAAGAUCAAGGAAGCAUUUUUAACUGAUGACGACACCUGGCUAGGAGAACGGGAUGGAGCAAAUAUCACUUUUCGUGAGUUGUACCAUCGGUUUGGAAAAUUCAACUUUUUUCACAAAUUUAGGCAUAAAUUGGAGUCGAAAGCAAAAUGGAAGGAAACGAGAGCUUUUACAUUCACGGUAGGCCUACUUGGAACCAUGGUGUUCCUGCAGGGAAAAAAUGGAACAAUUCAUCCGAGGGUUGUCACAGUGACCCAUGCCCUCUUCUUUGGAAUGUAAUACUAUCCUAAAAAAGUAUUCCACAACUUAGUCCCCAUGAUUGUCACCGACAUAUACCGCGCUUUGGGAAGAUGUCAAGUCGAGAAUCAUUUCUUUCAAGGCCGCAACCUUAUAUUACAAUGGUGGAUGAUGAUGCAUUUGGUGAAAAAUCCUAGAACGGCACAACCUGAUCACAAAACAAGGAGAAAUCUGCUAGAAUCGCACGACAUGUGGUUAUUUUUACACUAGUUCAAAAGGGAAGCAUCCCACGAAUUUUGGUUUAAGACUCUUGGAGAAUUAUGAGAUAGCGAUGUCCAAUGGUCCCUUAACUAUCUUCGUUCAGGGAAAUACAUCAUUCGAGGGGGCGAAUGGCCUUUUUUAGUGCUCUCGGGUCUCAUGGGAACCCGCCCCUACCAGGAUAGGCAAUUCGAGAUCAAGCAGGAGACGCCUCAAAUCAAUUCUAUGCUCAAAUUCUUCACCGAAUAUGAUGAAAGUAAGCCCUCGCUCAAAUACUACAUGAUAAAUAGAUGGAGAAGGAAAAAGUGGGUAGAAGUCUCUUUCCGUAUAGGGUAUGAACCUGAAGUCAGCGACACUUACAAGGAGUGGUUGAAAAAGAUCCUCGCCGAAGCAUUGAAUCCGGGACCAAAUGUGCCCACUCGGGUUGUGGAUGUAGAAUCCGAGCAUUAAAUUCGGCUUCACAGGCUACAAGAUGAGUUCCAGAAAAGUGAAAUUGCACACCGGCAGAUGCACAUGGAAGACGCUUUGACCAUACAUACAUUGAGGGAAGAGUUAUAAAGAGCUAGGCAAGACGUUGAUGAUGCCAGACAAUGCCUAAUUGAUUUGGACGAUAGCAUGGCCUCCCAACUUGACAGCAUAGGAGAAAUAACUUACGACUGCAAGGCACAAUUAUACGGGAGUCACCUUAUCAUCAAUAGGUAUCAAAUAGCACAUGAGGUAAACAAGGCAAAGAAGGCGAAAGCAGACGAAGAAGCCUCCAGUAGCUAGCUUUUCUAUUCUCCCCUGCGCGGGAACUUAUCUUCUUUCAUAUUAUUUCCUCGUUUCCCUAAAAAUUGUAUCCCUGUUUCAUUAUCUUUUGUAGGAAUUUAUGCCCCUUUUGUGUCUAUAUGAGUUGGGGUUUAAUGGAUUGACUUUGAGGAAGCAUAUCUUUUCUUCAAAAAAUAGUUAGGCCUGAACCCUUGGCUCAAAAAGGGUCACCCCAAUUAGGAUACACGUUAUUUUAAUGUCUUGUGUGAUAUAAUUGUUUUAUGUGCUUAUAUACGUUGGUUGAGAUCAAAGGCAAGUUUAUCCACUAUGACGUACGAAUGAAUUUGGCUAUGACUUGAACAACUCUGUGUGAUUAUUUCCUGUCAAAUAUUUUGCAUUACUUAUCACAUAUGGAAGCUAACACAUUUACCUUUGAGUUGUUUUGAUUUGCAAAUAAUAGAAAUUACUCCAUGUUGAUAAACUGGCAGAAUAUCCCUACUUCACCCGAUAGAAAGCACAGAAAAUCCCAUCCUCGGAUCAUCAUUCAAAAAUGACAGGAAAUGAUGAAGAAAGUGCACUGGCUAUCUGGGAUAAUAUGAUAACGGAACAGAAUGAGAUGAUUGCGAAACUUGCAAGAAAAUUAGAAUUGCUUCAGGAGGAAAUAAAUCGCACUCGAGAAUUGGCUAACUUGGCCAUCACCGUCAAUGCCCCUGCUUCGGGGGGACACAGGACUCCACUCCAAAUCCCUCCCCUCAGUACCCCUAUUCUUGAGGACCAACCAACUAACAUAUCAUCCAGCUCCGCUCCUUCAUUUGUCCAAAACACUAAUCGUGAAAAUAAUCCAAACGCCUACCAUCCAUAAAAUCCAUCCGCAAACCCACAAAACCCGUCUUUGAAUAUAUUCCCAAAUCCUUAAAACACAUUCUCAAAUCAACAAAACGCAUUCCCAAAUCUGCAGGAUUUACUCCCAAAUCCACAAAAUACGGCAAACCUACCUUCGAAUCCACCAAAUUUAUUUCCAAAUCCGUAAAAUCCCUCUCAUAUUCCGCCAAACUACUUACAAGGCCCACAUAACCUUCCCAAUUUCCAAAAUGUUCUCCCCACUUACCAACCAAAUUUCCUCCAUCUGCAAAAUCAAGUCUUCCUUCCAAAUCCCCCUCAAGCUAUCGUAUCCCCUGAUAUUUAUGAACCCCUUCCUAACUCUGAGAUGGACCAUUACGAAGAGAAGGAGAAGGAAUGGAGGACCCAGCAUGAAAGGAAUUUACUAGCCAUGCAAGAAGAGAUCAUGAGGAUCAAAGAGUCUCACGGGGCCAAAGAACACGAUGGUUUGGGGUAUGACGAUUUGUGUGUUCACCCAGGAGUAGACCUACCAGAAGGAUACAAGGUCCCUAUGUUUGAGAUGUUUGACGGUACCGAAAAUCCAAUGGCCCAUCUAAGAAGGUACUGCGAGCAACUAGUAGGGAUAGGGAAAAAUGAGGCGUUAUUAAUGCGCCUAUUCAGUCGAAGUUUGAAUGGUGAAGGCUUGGAGUGGUUCAUGUCUCAGGAGCCGAAAAGGUGAACUGGUUAGAAGACAUUGGCCAAGAGUUUCCUUGACUAGUUCGCAUUCAACAUUGAAAUAGUCCCUGAUCGGUAUUCACUAGAUCGGAUUGAACAAAAAAGCCUUGAGAGUUUUCGAGAUUAUGGUUUUCAUUGGAGGAAAGAAGCUUCCAAAGUGCAGCCCCCCAUCUCCGAGGAGAAAAUGGUAUUCGUGUUCUCUCACGCUCAAGAAAGAGAAUAUUAUAACAGGAUAGUGUCCGCUGUCAGAGCAACCUUUGCAGAUUUGGUAAAAAUAGGUGAAUUAUUAGAGGAAGGUAUUCGGACAGGAAAAAUUGCCAAAACCCCAACAUCAUUUGGAACUGCCAUGUUUUCUAAGAUGAAGAAGGAAGAGGUAGGUGGGGUUUCUGCCAAUUCUAUUACAAAAUUGAAACCGCGGUGCAAUUCUAAAAACAUUUUAUCUUCCCCGCCAUCACCUAACCUUCUGCACGCAUUCUAUGUCCACCCCUAAUACCAAACUCCACUCCCAAACAUCCCACCAUCAUACCAAGCUCCAUAGCCAAAUAUCUUUCCCCAAUACCCAGUUCCACCUCCAAAUUAUCAGUUUUAUUUCCAAACUACUCCCCCAAAUAGCUGAACAAGUUUCUAAACACCUCUAAAUUAUCACCAAGUACCCUCUCCUACAAACCUAAGCCCAUAUAACCCUCAACGUCCAAACCAUGAAAAAAAACCUCCCCGAAACUUCACCCUACUAGCUGAAAGUCGCACCCAAUUGUUUGAAAUAUUGAAGAAUAUUGGUCAUUUGCAACCAGUACAACCUAAGCCUAUCAAUCCUAGCUCCCGAUUUUAUCACCCUGAUCAAAAUUAUGCCUAUCAUUCAGGGGCAGCAGGGCAUAGUACCGAGGGCUGUCUUAUCUUGAAGCACAGAAUCCAAGAUCUGAUUGAUCAAAAGAUCAUCACGCUCCAAGCACCUACUUCAAAUGUUAGCAGUAAUCCACUGCCCAACUAUGGGAGAUCUACAGUUAACAUGAUUGAAAUAGAAGGCGAAUGGGCAUCUGGCAAGACCAUUACUUAGGUGAAUUCCAAAAAGUCCAAAAGAGUGAAAGAGGUAGGAAAGAUAGAGAAACGUGUGACUGCCUUAAGUAUCAGUGAGAAAGCCCCAUUUAUAGUGAUGACUGCACCGACUCAAGUGUAUGCUCCCCCUCCAAAGAAGGAAUUUAUUGUACAAACCACCGCUGCCCAUGGGAUGAUGCGAUCAGGACGAUGUUACAUCCCUGAGAAAUUGACCAACAAAAAAGAUUCACAAAAAAGGCCAAUCACUGAAGGAGCGGCUGAGGAAUUUUGAAGGCGUAUGCAACCAAAGGAUUACUCAAUUGUCAAACACUUGGAGAAAACGCCAGCCUAAUUCUCUGUCUUGGCACUAUUAUUGAGCUCGCAACACCACCGAAAGGCUCUGUCGAAGGUCUUGGAGGAAGCGUAUGUUCCCGCAGGAACGAGCAUUGAGAAUUUGGCUGCGAUGAUAGGGAAUGUUGUGAGGAACCAUCGCAUAUUAUUUAAUUAUGAAGAGUUGCCAUUUGAAGGAGCAAUGCACAACAAAGCCAUGCAUGUCACCGUCAUUUAUCUAGAUUAUGCAAUUAAUCAGAUAUUAAUAGACGAUGGAUCUGGUGUAAAUAUUUGUCCCCUCUCCACGCUGGUCCAAAUGGGCUAUGAUCUGGGGAAAAUUUGUCAAAGCUACAUAAAUAUGAGAGCAUUCGAUGGAGGGUAGAGAGAUACCAUAGGAGAGAUUGAUUUGCACAUCCAAAUGGGGCCUGCUGAGUUUAAGACUAAGUUUUAUGUUAUGGAUAUUCAUCCUAGCUACAAUCUGCUUUUGGAAAGACCAUGGAUACACGGGGCAAAGGCAAUUUUAUCACCCCUUCAUCCAUUAUUGAAGUUCAUUUGGAAAGAUCAUGAAGUAGUCAUCCAAGGAGAAGGAAGUCGAGCAGAUCAUCCCAAUGGUUAUGUGCCGGUGAUUGAAGAUGUUCCAAAAGGUAGCAGUUUCCAUACAGUGGAAAUUGUAAACGCUGUAGAAAGAGAUUCGACACCCAAAAUAUCAAUGCCUUCUGUCUGCAAAAUAAUUGCAACUGUGAUGUUAAGAAAUGGGUUCAAACCUGGUCGAGGCUUGGGCAAGAAUUUACAAGGAAUUAUCGAGCCUAUUAUGAUCCCAGAGAGAAGCUCUAAGUACGGGUUAGGGUAUUAGCCUACCAAAAAAGAUAGGGUUGCGGAUGAGCCAGAAAAGAGUCUGAUUAGGCCCUUGCCACUCCAGUUCCAGUCAUUUCCCGUACGAGAGAUGUCAGAUGAUGAUAGUCUUGGGGAUGGGAUAAGAGAUUUAUUUGAAGGAUGAAAUGCUGUACCAGAAGAUCUCCCAGAGUCCAACGGGGUGAAGUAGAUUGCGCUAGGAGAGGCUUUGCAAAAUUAGACCUCCACUCCACUCAUAACCCGUCGCCUGUUGUGGUAGAUGAAAGGACAAUUACUAAUAGUUUUGAAAUCAGUGAUGAUCCGGAGAAGGCCCCGGGAUCCACCUUUUAUAUCUCAAAACUUUAUUUUCAUAUCUUACUGCUUUAAAAAAAGGGGGCUUGUAUUUGUGCAAGUUACAAGCCAUGGUGUUGUAAUUAUUUCUCAAAUUUCAAUGAAAAGGCCUUCAUUUAUUUGGAAAACUAUAUUAGUUCUAAAACUCUCCUAGUCAUAUGUUUUGUUAUUUUCUUAUCAUUUAACUUAGUUUGUUUGUCCAUUACAGUAACAAUAGCUUAAAACCUGCCAAUGUUGUGUCAUAUCAAAGCCUGAACUAACAAAAUGAAAGGGGCGAUGAUGGUUGUAAGGACGAUGACGAGGAACGGUUAGUUGAAGAUAUGGAUGAAUUUGAGAAUCGCAAAAAACCCAAUCUGGAAGAAAUUGAAAUAGUUAACUUGGGAGAUCACGAUGAAAUCAAAGAGACCAGUAUCAGUGUCCACCUUGCGGCGCCACAAAGGGAAGAGCUCAUUCACCUAUUGCGGGAGUAUAUCAACGUGUUUACUUGGUCAUAUGAUGAUUUUACAGGGUGGAGCAUCAGCAUUGUAUCACAUAAAUUGCCGAUAAAUUCUGAGUUUGAUCUAGUCAAGCAAAAAAUGAGAAAAUUCAAGCCAGAUUUAAGUCUAAAGAUCAAGGAAGAAGUGACAAAACAAAUCCAUUCUAAGGUUGUCGAGGUCACAAAAUAUCCGACAUGGUUGGCCAACAUCGCCCUUGUGCCAAAGAAGGACGACAAAAUUCGAAUUUGUGUUGACUAUAGAGACUUGAAUAGAGCCAGUUCUAGAGAUAAUUUUUCAUUGCCCAACAUCCACAUUCUCAUCGAUAACUGUGCAAAACAUAAAAUAUAGUCAUUCGUUGAUUGUUUCGCCGGCUAUCAUCAGAUACUGAUGGAUGAGAAAUAUGCAAAAAAAAUGGCUUUUAUUACGCCCUGGGGUGUUUAUCAUUACAGGGUAAUGCCGUUUGGUCUCAAGAACACAGGUGCGACAUAUAUGAGGGCCAUGACAAUGAUUUUCCAUGAUAUGAUCCAUAAGGAGAUUGAGAUGUACGUGGUUGAUGUAAUUAUCAAAUCCCGCAAGAGUUCGAAUCAUCUAACUCAUCUGGAGAAAUUCUUCAAAAAAUUAAGAAGGUACAGUUUGAAGUUAAAUCCUGUUAAGUGUGCUUUUGGUGUGCCAUCAGAGAAGUUGUUGGGGUUCAUAGUCAGCAGAAGGGGAAUCGAGCUAGAUCCAUCCAAAAUCAAGACAAUUCAAGACUUGCCACCGUCGAGGACCAAGAAAGAAGUUUUGAGUUUCCUGGGUCAUCUGAAUUACAUUUGCAGAUUCAUCGCUCAAUCAACAGUCAUAUGCGAGCCAAUUCUCAAGAUGUUGAAGAAAAAUGCACUGAAUGAGUGGACAGAAGAAUGUCAGAGAGCUUUUGAUCGCAUCAAGGAAUACUUGUCUGCACCACCGAUUUUGGUCCCACCAAGAGAAGGAAUUCCAUUAUUGCUUUCCCUGCCAGUCUCAGAAAAUACUUUUGGAUGCGUCCUCGGGCAACAUGAUGAGACCGGCAGAAAAGAGAAAGUCAUUUACUACUUGAGUAAAAAGUUCACACCAUAUGAAGCCCGUUACACUUUUAUAGAAAGGACAUGUUGUACUUUGACUUGGACGACACAAAAGUUGAGGCCUUAUCUGUCGUCCUACACAACUUACCUCAUCUGGAGAAUAGAUCCAUUGAAGUAUAUAUUCCAGAAGGCCAUGCCUACAGGAAAGCUAGCCAAGUGGCAAAUAUUGCUGAGUGAGUUUGGCAUUGUGUAUGUAACCCAAAAAGCAAUCAAGGGGCAAGCCUUAGCAGAUCAUUUGGCUGAAAACCUAGUUGAUGAGGAAUACGAGCCACUUUGGACAUACUUUCCAGAUGAGGAAGUUUUAUUCGUAGGAGAAGAUAUCACGGAAAUCUACCCCGGAUGGAGGCUAUAUUUUGAUGGAGCGGUCAACUUCAAAGGUCCAGGAAUUGGAGCAGUUUUGGUGUCAGAAAUGGGCCAGCAUUAUUCGAUAACUGCUAAGUUACAUUUUCCAUGCACCAACAACAUGACUGAAUAUGAAGCUUGAAUCCUGGGGCUCAAAUUGGAACUUGAUAUGGGUGUUCGUGAAUUGCUAUCCAUCGGAGAUUCAGAUUUGCUGAUUCACUAGAUAUGGGGAGAAUGGGCGGUAAAAAACUCCAAGAUUACUCCUUAUGUGGAGCUGGUGCAAGAAUUAUGCGGAAGAUUCAAGGAUGUUGAUUUCAGACAUAUCCUACGGACACAAAACGAGUUUGCUGAUGCUUUGGCCAUGAUAUCUUCCAUGAUUCAGCACCUGGAUUAGAGUUACAUCGAUUCUUUGGAAAUAAGCCUGAAGGAGCAACCCGCGCAUUGCAUACACGUGGAAGAGGAGCCUGAUGGAAGGCCUUGGUACUAUGACAUUAAGAUGUAUUUGGAAUCUGGAAUAUAUCCUGAAGAGGCUAGUAACAACCAAAAGAAGACAAUCCGGCGUUUGGCAAAGAAUUACUUUCCAAGUGGAGAAAUUCUUUUUAGGAGGACUCCUGAUUUGGGAUUCCUAAGAUGCGUCGAUGCGGCGGAAGCCAAUAAGUUGAUAAACAAGGUACACGCUGGAGUUUGUGGGUCCCACAUGAAUGGGUUUGUCCUUGCCAGAAAGAUCUUGAAAAUCGGUUACUUCUGAAUGACUAUGGAAUAUGAUUGUAGUAAGUUUGUGCAGAGAUGUCCAAAAUGUCAAAUACACGGAGAUCUGAUUCGAAUGCCUCCACACGAGCUUCACGCAAUGAAUUCUCCUUGGACUUUCAUAGCUUGGGGCAUGGAUGUUAUCGGACCAAUAGAGCCAUCAGCAUCGAAUGGACAUAGAUUUAUUUUAGUCGCCAUCGAUUAUUUCACUAAGUGGGUUGAAACUGCUUUAUACAGAGCCGUCACUAAGAAAGUGGUUGCAGAUUUCGUCAGGAAUAACUUGAUUUGCCAAUUCAAAGUGCCAGAAUCGAUUAUUACUGAUAAUGGGUCAAACCUGAACAGUCACUUGAUGAAAGAAAUUUGUGAUCAGUUCAAGAUUGUGCAUCGUAACUCGACAGUGUACCGUCCCUAAAUGAAUGGAGCCGUAGAAGCUGCUAACAAGAAUAUCAAGAAGAUCUUGAGAAAGAUGGUCAAAAAUCAUGGAUCAUGGGAUGAGAUGUUACGUUACACCUUGCUAGGGUAUCGAACAACCGUUUGAACCUCCACAGGAGCAACUCCCUAUUUACUAGUUUACGGGAAUGAAGCUGUUAUACCCGCUGAAGUCGAAAUACCUUCCCUAAGGAUUAUUUAGGAAGCUGGACUGAAUAACGAAGAAUGGGUCUGUGCUCGCUCUGAACAAUUCAUGUUAAUUGAUGAAAAGAGAAUGGACGCUGUAUGCCAUGGUCAGCUGUAUCAACACAAGAUGGUUCAUGCCUUUAACAAUAAGGUAAGAACUCGAGCAUUUGAAGUGGGGCAACUGGUUCUCAAACGAAUAUUCCCCCACCAAGAGGAGUACAAGGGCAAGUUCGCUCCAAACUGGCAAGGGCCAUACAUAGUUCGCAAAGUGCUAUCUGGAAGAGCUCUAAUUUUGUCUGAGAUGGAUGGCAUAGAGUGGACCAAACCAAUCAAUUUUGAUGCGGUAAAAAAAUAUUAUGUUUGAAUGACGUUCUAGUUUUUGUGUUUUCUUAGUUUGUUUGUAAUCACCUUUGUAAUAAUGUUGUUUGCUAGUGUGUAACUGCCUAGAAUCCUUUCUCUUUAUGCAUGAAUUACGUUUGACCUGAAUUCCCAAGAAAGGGAUAUGUAGGCGGCCUAUGUCGACUUCGGUCAAUCCCUUAGGAAAAUUUAUCCUUUCCCCCCUAUGUAUGAACUACGUGAUGACCUAAAUUCCCAAUAAAAGGGAUAUGUAGGUGGCCUAUGACGGCUUCAGUCAACCCAUUAAUUUCUUUUGUAUAUCCCUAGCGUAGCCUAAACUACGUUUGACCUAAUUCCUGCUUCAACGGGAUACGUAGGUGCCCCAACGGCUCGGUCAUAUAACCCCAAGAAAGAAAAACUGAGGCAGAAUUUUCGAGAAGGAAUCUCAAAAAUUCACAAGAGAAGAUCGACAUCCAACAAAGAGAAUGAAAAUUAACAAAGGCUUCAGAUCCACUCAGAUUGGUAUUAUCUAAAACAAGUUUAAACUGGGGCAAAAAUUUUGAGGAAGACCUCAAAAUUUCCACCAAAUGCCGGAACAUAUUUCAAAUUCCCUAGCACCAGAGGUUAAAGCUUUAGAAACCACCAACUGUAACAAAGUAUGGGUAGACUCAAUUUUUGGCUAUGAUAGAACUACUUGAAGAAACCCUCCAACAAUAAUCAUGAGUUUUGGAAACCGUCCAUCAGAUAUAGUCAGAACCACGAGGAAGACGUUCAUUGAGCUAGUACAUGACAUGACUGACAGAAAUUUUCUAAAAUUUUACAGAAGUUUUCAAAAUUAUUUUCAAAAUUUAAGACUAUUUUCAAAAAUCUUACGACUUACUUACUUAGUACUUGCCUAGACAUCAUUUGGGAUAGAGUGUCACAGUGGAAGUUUCAAUAUGGUGGAAUGCCCAAGAGAUGGCAAGGAGCAAAUCAAGGAUCCAAGAAGGUCAACAUGGAGUAAUUUCAUUCAGCUAAUCAUUUUUCUGUGGAUGUAGGGAUCAAUACGCAAAAUGAGAGUCUCUUUCAAAAAUCCCCGAGCAAAUUGGGAGCCACAACAGAUCAUUAAUGCCCAAGAACGAUAUUUUAGGGCAGCCCUAAAAAUAGGUUUAAUGCCCAUUUAUUGAGGACCUUUUGAUUUGUCCAUCUCAUUUCUUGAGAUCGUAGGCGACAAACAAAAGUACUUUGUCUUCUUUACACGUAUCGUAUUUAGAAGUUUACGAGACACUGACAAAUGAAGCCAGGUAAAAUUAUUUUAUCACUGCCACAAUGGCCAUUGUAUAUCAUUGCUGCAAAGGCCAUCACAUAUCAUUGCCACAAAGGCCAUUACAUAUCUGUUGACACACUAGACGUCGAGGAUAUUAUCAGCAUCAAUAUAUCUGUAGACACGCUAGACACAAUGCUGGCAUAGAGGAUAUCAUCAGCAUCCAAUAUAUCUGUCGACACGCUAGACACAACGCUGGCGUAAAGAAUAUCAUCAGCAUCCAAUAUAUCUGUCGACAUGCUAGACAUGACGCUGGCGUAGAGGAUAUCAUCAGCAUCCAAUAUAUCUGUCGACAUGCUAGACACAACGUUGGCGUCGAGAAUAUCAUCAGCAUCCAAUAUAUCUAUCGACACGCUAGACACAACGCUGGCGUCAAGGAUAUCAUCAACAUCCAAUAUAUCUAUAGACACGCUAGACAAAAGCUGGCAUAGAGGAUAUCAUCAGCAUCCAAUAUAUCUGUCGACACGCUAGACACAACGCUGGCAUCGAGGAUAUCAUCAGUAUUUAAUAUCUGUUGACGCGCUAGACACAACGCUGGCGUCGAGGAUAUCAUCAGCAUUUAAUAUAUCUGUCGACACGUUAGGCACAACACUGGCGUUGAGAAUAUCAUCAACAUUCAAUAUGAAUCAGCAUCUGAAUACAUUAAGAGCACGAUUUGGAGGGACGCUUUCAGGUCGCUAUCUAAGGAUGAAUGAUAUAUAAGAUUUCCUAGCAAUUGACAAUUUGAAGGUCAUCUAUAUGUCAUAUUAUUUGAAAUAGGAUAGUGUGCAAGAUCACCUAUGAGUUGAUAGCCUGUAGGUCAUCCGUAAGCCACAAUAACAUCUUAACCGAAUGGUGUGCAAGAUCGCCCAAAAGUUGAUAGUUCAAAGGUUAUUCGUAAGUCGCAACUAAAUCCUUAUCGGAGGAUAUGCAAGAUUGUCAAAUUGAUACGUCCAAGGGUUCUCUAUAAGCCACGUCAUAUCCAAAAUCGAUUAUAUGUAGGAUUACCCAAAGACGAUCAAUUUGAGGGAUUAUCUAUAAGUCAUAUUAUAUCCAAGGUUAGAGGAUGCGCAGGAACACCUGAAAGCUAGCGAUUGGAGGGAUAUCUGUAAGUCAUCUCUUAUCCAAAGUCGGAUGAUGUGCAGGAUUACCGAAAAGCUAGAAAUUCAAAGGAUAUCUGUAAGUCGCCUCAUAUCCAACAUCAAAUAAUGCGUAAGAUCAUCUGAAGAUUGAAAAUUUAGGGAAAAUUUAUAAAUCAAUCAUCGGCUACAACCGGAGAGGUUAUCAUGCCACAUACAACAAGUGAUAUAGGUAACAAAAAGGGCCACCCCACUUUGAAAACAUAUUCGCUCGACAGAUGAGCUAAUUAUCCAACAACCAAGAAGGUUGUUGUGUCUGUUAUUGCGAGUUAUUUCCCAUCAAACAGAUACAAUAAAGGAUGACUUUGCUUUUCAGGCUACAACUCACGUGGAGAUAUGGUAAAAGAUUACUUACCUCUUUCUUGAAUUAUGUUUAAUACUAACACUUUUUGCCUGAAGCAUUGUCAAGAGCAUCUGAGAGGAUAAAAAUCUCAAAUCAAAACCACAGGUGCGGACGACUCCAAAAAGGACGCAGCACAAUGUGGAACUCUUUCUCAGCAGCAAAAUGGGACAUAGUCUGGAGAGGGAUGUCAAACUCUCUAGACGCGAGCUAAAUGAUGAUCAUCACCACCAUUUAACCACGCCUCUAUUAGAAGGAAUAUGGGUAUUUUUCGGAUAUUCUGGUCUCACCUUUACCUCUGGGAUGUUUGUUAACUCAUACUGAGGGGAACUUUUUUUUUCUUUCAAAUUCGGGUGGCAACACAAUUAGAGUUUUGGAAAUUAUGUCCGGGUAAGUUCUUACCUAUGGAUGUGAAGAGCUCCACAUUCAUGGCUAAGAGGUUACAAGCCUCUUUUCUGCAACUCGAUUAACUUGUCACUCAUCCCGAGCUAAAGAUCGUCUAAAAUAAAAGACUAUCUUUUUUACCGAUUGAGUCGAACUACAAGCAAUCUGAUUACCUAAAAUCUUUGGGAUAUGUAGGCUGGGAUCUAUGUAGGAAACUUGACUGUAUUCCAACCUUCCCCCCAAAUCCCUUUAUUCCCCAGCUUCCCAGUUUAACCGAAGCACUCUAAAACCGUGAUAGUUGGUAAGUUUUCUUGAAAAUCAUGCUUAGAAUCAAGCUUUACGAACUACAAGUGGCCUGAAUUCUCAUGAAACCUGAGAUAAGUAGGAAACCUGAUACCGGGGUUCGACAAUAACUCCACGAAACUCGUGCGGAAAACCAACCUCUCUUAGAUACAAAUUUAUGGUCGGAAAAAAAUUAGGAACGUCAACCUCCCUUUGCCCAGAAUUACUUGCAUUCAUCCUACACAAAGGGAGGGGGCAGUUGUUGACACCUAAUUUUUGCCCUCUAUAACCUAGUUUAAUUUUAAGCUUCCUCGAUUUUUGAUAAAAUCAAAAUAUUUCUUUCGUAUGAAUAGAAAUUUCUCCAAAAAAAAAACAAUAUGCAUCUGGGCAAGUUUGUCAUCUUAAGUGAUGAUUAUACAUUAUCGUAUUCAAUUAUACGAAAUUAUGUAAUUUAAUUACUUAAAUAACUAUUUUACGGAAUAUCGGAUUUUAAUCAAGGAUUAUUUUGAAGAUAAAUCUAAAUUGAUAAAGUCUUGAUUUUAAAUAUGAUUUGCUCUCGAAAAUAAUUUAUUUGGAAAAAUAUUUGAUUAACUUUAUCAAAUCAAGAAGCUGAAGAUUAAACAAGGUAUUAAUUCGUAUCGAAUCUCGAUUAAAUUUAGUCAAUUUAUUAAAUUAGACCAUAAUUGAAAUCAAGUUGAUCAAAAUUGUAAUGAAAUUGAUCAAAUUGAUAUCCGAUUUGGUUAAGAUUUAAGUAAAAUUGGCUAAAAAUUAAUUUUGUUUGACCAUUAUUAAAUUACCAAAUUUCUACCCCUUUUUAUUUUAAAUUGGACCCAUUAACAUUCAGCAAUAACAUUUAAAGUUGGCCCAACCAGCCCAAUAUCCCUUUAGUAACCAGCCCAUCCGGGUUUCAACCCGGCCCACCCCUUCCAUUCCCCUUCUUUUCUAAAACAAGGACACACCAACCUCAGUCUUAAACACCAACAGCAACAUCAUGCGAAUCCACCAGCCCCGAUAACCCAAACCCAUCUUCAACCCACGACCAACGGAAAAACCCAACCUCAACCUAUUUGUGGUAUUCUUCAUGCGUUCCACGCGAUAGUACGACGAGGAAGGACCUCGAAGCUUCUAGAAAUGGGUGAGUUGGCUCGCCCCAACGUCCAAAUUUCGUAAUUUUCGGGAUAACUUGUACGAAUCCGUACAUUGGUGGAGAUUUCUAAACGGUUCUUGAAGAUGAUUCCCCUUUCUCUAAUUUGGAUUGGUUGGCCUUAUUUUGAAAUUCACCGAGUUGUAAAAGCGGUUAGACAACAUACCUAUCAAAAUUUUGGAAUUCAAAUUUCCUUUUUGUUUUUUUCCUAACUUACCCCCAUAAACGAAUCCUAGCCUAUUCUCUAUAAAAAGCUAUUUUAGGAGGUUGAAGAGGGGGAUUUUUUUUAGGUUCUAGGGUUUCGAAAAACUGAAGAAGAAAUCUUUAUUGAGAGUUAAAGGGGAUUCAAAAAUUGGGAGGUGAAAAUUUAAGGUUCGAGAAUUUGAGAAGAAAAUCAACAUUAACAUUUCUUUUUAGCAAACGAAUUUCCUUUUCUAUCUUCCUCUGAGAGUUAGCUGAUUAGUUAGAGGGUAUCGAGUUGAUAACAUUAAGCUUCGUUGGUGGUCGACGUCGCGAGACUCCGGUAGCGACGAUUUUACUGAUAGUUUGUCGUCCUGUUUAUUGCCCCGAACAAGAUUUAUUUCAGUGGUGGUAGAUUUUGAGCUCGAGUCUCACUUUGCUGCUCCAAAAAGGUAAACGCACCCUCGUCCUUCUUUCUGCUUCAUUUUAGUAUUUCCUGAUCCAUCCCUCUUUCUUCGUAGUUAGUUAUCUGUUUGUCGAUGAAUGAGGCUGGGUUGUUUGUUGUAGAGGCUGCAAUGGGCCAUAGGUUCCUCUUUAGUAAGGAAGAACGUUUAGUGGAGUUGUUAUGUUAGGUUGUUUCCUGUUUGAAUUUUUUGAUGUGUGGUUUCUAUCGUUCUCAUCUCAAUUUUGUUUUCUAUCUAAUAAUCUCGACAUUAUCAAGUACUUUUUGAUAUGGAUCCUUAUCUUGUGUACUCUCUGUCUUGAAUCUCCGAUUUCAUGGUCAAAAUUCAUUUCUUGAUUCUUGUUUAAUAGUGCAUCCUGAUGUUUUGUCUCGUUCGAAGUUGAUGUAAGACAUUUUUUCUUGUCUGUUGUUAUUGUUGGGAUGCCGUCAUAACUGUCGAUCUCGAUAGGACCACCUCUUGAGAUCCUUCGGCUUCUCAAAUUCCAAAUGAAGGAUGAAGAAACGUCCUACAAUAGGCUAAAAAAUCCUAUGUUUCCUCGAUAGCCGUUUUGACUGUUAAAACUCAUUUGGGUUUGUCAAAAGAGGAUGAGGUUGAUAGUAGCACCCUGCCACCCUCCCUUUUAGGCUUAUCUGUUGUGUCUUCCGUGUGUGGAUUUGAAUUCUUUUUAUCCUUCCUUGUCUUUUGGGUUUGUUACCGGUGCGUGGUUGGGUUAGGGAGAUGAAUGCAAUAGUUGGGGUAUCUUAGUAUGCCUAUUUAAAGGAAAUGAUCUAAUUUUGUUUUUUUUUUACUUAUGGAAAUGGAGCGUCACUGUCGUAUGUCCCUGUGAAUACCUAUUGACAGUGGAAAUUGGAUUUACAGGUCAAUUUUGUUUCUUUUAUGCGUUUCAAUCAAUUUCUUAAAUCGCGUGCUUACGUUUUACGUACGAAGUUCCCAAAACAGAUCGCAACCCGUGUUCUCCUGUCCCUAAUAACAUAAGAGUAUCAUAUAGUUUGGUAUAAAUUGGUUUAUUCAAAGCGCUUCACUGCAUUUCAAUUUUUAGUAUUGGAAAUGGAUAGUGUUCUUGAUCUGAGUGAGACCUUCUUUGUUUUCGUUGUGAUUGGCGUGUAUCCUGUCCAACAUUUAGGGACAUAGUUGAAACUACUGUACUCUGAUUCAUCUGUUGCAUAAAUUUAAGUAUCCAUUUUGGGGAAUUAUCUUCUGCGCUUCAGUUUUGUAUUUCAGGUAAGUGUUUUGAUUGCCAAUUGUUAAAAUUUUCUUAGUUUUCUGUGUAUUCCUUAUCAUUAGUAAGCACCUGAACCUAUUAGUUAGUCACAAAAGGCAUCGAUUGCGACUUACUAUUAAUGCACGGUCCCUUAACAAAUGUUGUAACAUCUUUAUACUGUGACAAGUGAAAGUUUUUUUUAUAUAUCCAACGCUCUUUCACUUAAUGAUCAUUACAUUAAGUUAGGAAAACUGAAGCCCUUCAAUGGAAUAUAUGCACAUUUCUAUGCAAAAUUACUAGGGUGUGAUAUAUUGUGCUCUCUUUGAUUCCCAUAUUAAAGGUCCAAAAUUAGUUACAUGUCGUAAGUUCAUUAAUCUUGUAGCCAGUUUCUCCUUCAUACUUGAUGAUAGAAGUAGUGACUCUGGAAAGCUUUAAAUUUUCUUAAUUUUCUUUGUUAUCUAAAUAUUUGAACGCUUAUUAACUUAUAUAUAUUUUUCCUUUCCUCUGCAUGAAUUCGCCUGGAGUCCAAACGGACCCUCUUCCUUUGCAUUCCUUAAUGGGGCCAGUGAGGCCCAUCUCAGGGCCAAGCCCGAGGUUCUAAGCUCAAAAGCGAUCCCUUGGCACAUGAACACAUGGAGUUAGGGAAGGACAAUAGAUUAAAGUCCUACGUUUGGAGCAGUUAAGAGGCGAUUAAAGGCCUACAUUUGGAGCGGUUAAGAGGCGUCAAAAGUCUCCUUCGUCGUUUUAUUUACUAGUUUAUUUAUUUAUUUAUUCAUUUAUUCGGGCCAUGAAGCAAAAGUUCUACUUAAUACAGGUGAAGCGAAAACUAGAGCCAAAGGGCCCGAAAAUAUAGAAAUAGGACAGGUGAAAGGAGAAAUGGGUUGAAAAACCAACUAGAUUAGGACAGGUUUAGCUAUUUGGGCUUCAAAGCCUAAAUAACUAAUUCUCCUCCCUUCCCCCCUUUUUUUUAUUAUUUGUUUUGCAUGUCUUUUUUGCGAACCUAGCCAAAUCCCCUAACGAAUUCGCAAAAAAUUAACUUUUGCAAACUUUCAAAGUAUUUCUAAAAGUCAACCAUUUUUUGAUAAAUCAAAUUUUAGAAAGUUAAUCAAAGACGUUUUCAAACAAUCAGGAUAAUCGCAAGUUAGCGGCCGUUUUAGGUGCCUAACACCUUCCUAAAACGUUAAUAGGAACCGCUUACUCAGAAUUUCUUAACUCAAAUGAUUUUCCUAUUUUGAAUCGUUUGAAGUACUUUAUAAAGGUUUCUUAAUUCCUUUUUAAAAUUAAGUGGCGACUCUCUCAAAAGUCAAAAUUUCUCCGCAAAACACAUCACACAUACAUUCAUUCAUACAUUCAACAUUCAUUCAUACAUAAUCAACAUCUAACAAAAGACUAUACUUAUAAGCUACAUGAGUCUUACAAGAUACACUUCAUAAGUCUUACAAGACACUCUAUCUUACAAGACACACUUCACAAAAAUAAGGACUACUAUUCAUUUAAAAACUAAACAGAAUAUUUAAAAGAAAAAUUUCAUAUUCUAACAGUUCAUCUAUGACACCUUAACUUGGUCACAACUUUGAGAGUGCAUGUCUACACAACUAAAUACCCCAACUCAUCCUGUCACGACCCGAGCCGGGGCCUUAGCCGCGACGGGCGUCCCGAACCGUGAAGGCCCGAGCGCCCUUCUCUAUCUGGCAAUCAUACACACGUUCAUAUAAUAUGAAGGAAAAUGUGGAAAUAUAAAACAAUACGGAAUCAUGGUCACUAUCAUAAUUCAAUUGAAUAAUCUGUGAUGGAAACCAUAAACCUCGAAACAACUUUAAACAUCAGUCUGUGAAAUCUCUAACAACUGAAAAUGGCAUUUGUCUGAAAUCUGGGACAAGGCCCCCAGUCGGUCCAUGAAUCAAAAUGGAACAAUAAUAACAAGCUCUAAUACCGGCCUUCCGAAGUAAAGAAGGCUCACCAGCUGCAAACUUCUGACACACACGAAUCUACUAUUGUAUGGGACUGCGGGACUCUGCCUCGGAUCCUGAGAGGGAGGAGGAGGGGGUCAAUACAGAUAUACUGGUACGUAGAGCAAUCCAAAAUAAUGAAUUUAUACAUAUAUAACAUAGGUGAGAGCAAGUCAUAAAACAUUAUGCGUGAAAUAGUUUAAAAUACAUGGGCCAUUUCAAAAGAUCUCAAAACAGUCUUGUCAAUGCAAUGUCAUUCUUUGUAUUACUUCUGAGCUAGGUGGUACAGCCUACAUAUCUGAAAGUUUCUCACGAGCAAUAUGGGAUCCUUCAUUAACUCGACGGCCAAAUCCCCAACCCAAGUUUGCUGCAAGGGUUGAAGUAUCUGAAUCUGAUACACCUCAGGGCUCUAGGCCAACGUAUAAUAAUAUACCUGUAUCGGCAAAACACGGUUUCGGGCAAUAAAUCAUAUGACUCAUGCCUUCUUUGGGUAACCACCUUACUCUCUUAGUGCCCAGUUUUAACCCAUUCUAAACAUGCAUCUUUCUGAAUUCAAAAUCUGAAAUCUAAAAUGAAAUCUGUAUUCUGUUCUGAGUUUUAUCAUGACUUUAUCUGAUUUGGUAUCGUCAUACCAAGAUUUGCAAUUCAUAAUUCUGAGCCAUAAAAUAUCAUGUUACAGUCUUUUCAUUCAAAACAUAAAGUUUGGACCACCAUAUCAUUCAAAUAGUGCAAGAGAAUCCAUAUUUCAAUCAUAUGUAAAAAUUAUGCAAGGCUCUCUCUUUUAGACAUUUCAACAAACAUGUGGUGGUCAAGUAUUUUGUAACAACCCAUGCAAUCUCUUUGAAUCACCACUUUUCAUUUAUAUUAGCAAGAAUCACCCUCUCUUUUCAAUUCAAAACCAUGAUCAAGUCAUAAGCAAUAAUCAAGACCUUUGUAUCAUGCUUCUCAAAAAUGCAUUUUGAAGCAAUCCAUAUCGUAUGAAAAUAAUGGGAAAUCAUAGAAAGAGAGGGAUUCUAUAUUUUCAUGUUCUCAAUUAAAUCUUCAAACUCAAUUUAAUACAUAUAUAUAUACAAGUACAAAUAAAUUUGGGAAAAAGGCCUCAAGACCAAAUAAUAAUAUCACUAGAUAAUUCAUAAAGCAAGAUUGUAAACAUAAUUCCAAAACCCAUUGCAAAUUCAUGAUUUCUCAAUAUUCAAAGCAUUAUUAAAAACGUUUUCACCAUGUACAUGUAGUUUAGAAAAACUCCACGUACCUUAGAUUAUAGAAUUUGAAAGGUGGAACCCGGAUCCUAGUCCGUUUCUUGAAAUUCUUGAUCUUAGGGAUGAGUUCUUGAUCUUUAGAAGAGAAGGAAACUUGAAUAUUGUUCUUGAAGUUCUUGAGAGAAAGGGCGGAUGAUUUCAAUUUGGGGAAAUGAAUUUAGGGCUAAAAAUGCUGUUUUAGGACUGAUAUUAUGUGGUUUGGACUAUUUGGGUCGAGGGAAAAAAGACUAAAAUACCCCUAAUGAAACAAAAAAAAGUCGUAACAGUCCCUCAGUUACAGAUUGACAUGCUGAAGUAAAUUGAGCAUAGCUUUUUACUUCGAUGUUGGAUUUGGACGAAAUCAGUUGCGUUGGAAAGAGAACUCAAAGAUCUUUCAUUUGAUAUAUAGCAGGCCACCCAGUUCAUUAUAUAACAGAAGUUAUGAUCGAUGAAAGUUGACCGAUGUUGAAGUGUCCUCUAAAACUUAAUCGAUGGAAUUGUUUUCAACUCGUCUUAGAAUUAGGGGAUUCUUGUGAGCUCAAUUCAUAUUCAAAGGUUUUUCCACACUAUAGGAGUGAUCACUACACAUACAUUAACAAGUAAUAAUUUAGUUAGGGUCUAUAUGCAAAGGAACGAUUCUCUAAAUUCUAGCCCGAAAGUAUGGGGGUGUUACACAUCCAUAACGUAUCUCGUGGAUACUUGAGGAUGACAUGACACAGAAAUUUUGAAGAUGUCUAGGUGAUUAUUUUAUAAGUUAAAAUUGUUCAACUGAAUCAUGGGGAAAAAACAAGCUGAAAUGUCUAGAAUAUUUAUUGAAAUCAAUAAUGAGAACACUAAAUAAUACACUUUACUUUCUCUUAAUAUUUAGUUUUAUUGAAACAGACAUUAGAGAGUUGACCUGACCUGCUCAACUCUGUUUCUAUAUUAUAAAGAGGCUCAGUGUUGUUGAUUCAACUGAAUAAUGUAAAAGCUCAAUUUGGUUUCAUAUAUACAGUAAACGACAAUGACGCAAAAUAGCAGAUACAGGAAGAGACCUAACAUACUUAUCACCGGAACUCCGGGAACAGGGAAGACAACUACGGCGGCUGUCCUGGCGGAGGUGACGGAGCUCCGCCACAUCAAUGUCGGCGACUUUGCUAAUGAGAAGAACUUGACCAACGGCUGGGACGACACCUUCGAUUGCUACUACAUCAACGAAGACCUCGUAAGUCAGUUUAUGUGUGCCUUGACUAAUUUCACAGAAAACUGUCACCUCUCACCAGGCAACUGGUGCCAGGUAAUUCUAUCUAUGGCCGAGGUUAGGAUACAUAGGAAUCACCUAGUGUUUUUGUCUCGGCUUAGACAGCAGUAUUAAUUUGAAUUUUGUUCAAGUUGUGCUCUUCAAAGUACAACAUAUUUAGUAUCGGAAUAAAAUGGAACGAAUAGAUAUUGUAUUCAUAUAGAUAUGCCCGACUAAGUUAAUUAGGGAUUGAGCUAUAGCUGAUUGAUUAAUUGAUUUGUACUCUCCAAAGCAAUUUUAAUAAAGGGUAACUAGAGUUACAGUUUGAAGUUCUCGCAUACUAAAUUUCCUAUUUCCAGGUCCCGAAUGUCCAUCCAAUGCAUCUUUUCGAUCUUGUACCCUAUGUAGGCUUGAAAAGCAUCGGCACACCAACCCAAUCUCAACGGAAAAAAAAGGGAAAGCACGUACAACCUUAGCAGACUCUAUUCCUGAUGUGAACGUCUACUUUCUUGGAACUAAUUAAUACGCACUUUCCAUUAGUUAGACUUCACACACUAUAUAAACAAAUAGUUGAAGUGUGCGAUAGAAAGAGGGAAAACGAAUUGAUCGACUAUUGAGUGCGAACCCGUAAAUAGGCGACUUUGGGUAGUUCUGGUGUGUUUAACGUCAACUACAACUAGAAGGCAUGCCGAUCUUGCCACCCGUACAUUUCCUUUGAAAUACUAAGGAAAUGUGUUAUUCUAACUUGGAUUAUGUUUUGCUUAUCCAGCUAUGUGAUGAGCUUGAGAAUUUGAUGGAAGAAGGUGGAAACAUCGUUGAUCAUCACGGCUGUGACUUCUUUCCUGAGCGCUGGUUUGACCGAGUUUUGGUGCUUCAAACUGACAAUUCUAUCUUGUAUGAUCGGUUCACUAUGAGGUAAACUAUCAAUUGAUCCUUACUUUUUUGUUCAUGUGCAUAUCUGGUAUCGUCCUGUUGAAUAUGUCUAGACUGUUUGACUGUCCCAGAGGUUACUCAGAUCAAAAGCUUGCUAGUAAUACUGAAUGUGAAAUGUUUCAAGUUUUGCUGGAGGAGGCAAAAGAGAACUAUCCAGAGGAUAUUGUGGUAAUACUAAGAAGUGAUUCUCUUGAAGAUAUUACCAAAAAUGUAGAGAAACUGACCUGUUGGAUUAGUAAUUGGAGCCCUGUCUUAUGAUUAAAGUAUAAGGAGAGAUGUACUUUCUUGGAACUAAAACUAUAGAGAAGGUCAAGAUUACUUUACGUUCAUAUAAUAGAUGUUAAAUCCCCUUGGCUUCUUCAGGAGAUGGUUGUUCCAAUAUUGCCCCUCAAGUUAGGCUAAUGUCUUACUAAGCCUAACUUGAACAUAUUGUGGCUGAAAGCAGGCUUGACCAAUACUUUUGUGAGACUAUCAGCUAAUUGUUAUCAGCAGCAUGGACAUAAAUAUAACACAAACAUUGUUCGAUUGGACGUGCUUGCGCACAAAAGGGAAGUCCACCCCAAUAUGUUUCAUACAGACUGUAAAAGGGACACCAGUGUUAUCAAAGAAAAUGGUUGGUACCUUGUGGAAACAUGUUUUUCGGGUUGAAAUUGGGGGUAGGGGAAGGGGAUUUGGAGGGGAUUACAAUGUGGAGAAAAUUCAGGUUGCCAACAAACUGAACUAUUAACAUUCCCCAGCAUGUUGGAUGUUACAAUCUAAUCUCAAUAUUUAUGAAGAUCUACUUUUUGUUAAGUUUAUUUAUAGACUUAACUUUUAAAAAGACAACUUUGAAUGAUAAUGUUGUAAGCAAAUGCGUAAGAACUAAACUGCAACUUCAAUUCAAAUAUGAUGAGUAAAAUUGAGCUUCAACAGUAACUUUUCUCAAAGUUGUGACGGUGGAGUAGUAGUUUCUCCGGUAUAAAGUUUAUAGCUUCAGUUGUCAAGAAACUGAUCAUGCACCUGAAACUCGAAUUCAUCAAUUUUACAUUUUGUUCUUGUACCACCACAGAUAUAACUGAAAUUUCAAAUUUUCUUCUAACUAAUAGUAACAUAGUUUAAACCACAAACAAAAUCAUUGCAAAAAACCAAUCCAUCUUAUUCACAACUCAAAAGGGCAAUGUGUCUUGUGUGCAACAAGACCACCAAGGAAACAAAAUCAGAUCGCAUGAAAGUAAAACAGAAAAGAGAAAAAAAAAAAAAAAGAGUUCCAAAACUGGCUUUGAGUUUUCAUGUCAUAACUCAACUAGACCAAGUCACCAAGAGCAGCUGAUGAUGAUGGCAGAAUGACUUGUUCAUGUUGAGCAUUAGUAAUUCUUUUAAGCCUUUUCUCUCCAAUUCCAAAUGCAGCUGCAAAUUCUGGCCCUCCCAAGCUCUGCAUCAAUGAGUUCCUACCCACCAAGAACUGUGGAUGGUUCCACCUGGCUGAUGUAGUGAAGCCGAGGAUCUGAAAUGGACCAUUUGUGGAAGCAGUUUGGCAGACGGGGAAGUAUCGUGGCACCCAAAAGACGUCCCCUUCUCGUACUCUUGCAUUCAUUGCUAAAGUCCCAUUUGGAUACACAAUUUGGAUCCUGCCAGUCCCUUUCAACACUAUUCCAUAUACUAUUGCUGUUGGAUUGACAUGAGGUGCCAUCAUGGAUCCCUACAUUAACGAAGAAACAUUGAUAAAACAUGUAAGCAGGAAACGAAACAUACAUGUUGCUAUAUAUACCUGGAGCAUGAUAAGUUAUUAAUUAUGAUUUGUUUACAUGCAAGGGAUUUGAAUCAAUGCGUGCAAAUGAUCAUUACCUGAGACAGACUGAGAAGAUAAACACCAUUGCCGGAUUGUCCUAGAGAAGAAUAAUCCGACUCAUCCAACUUCUUGCCCCAUCCAUAGUCGUUCCUGAAAUCAGGUUUCCUGUUGUAGAGAUUGUACGCUGAUGGAGCUUUGUGACCCACUAUCUGGACAAAGUCUUCUCUGUUUAAUAAAGAAAAUAGAAUUUUCCUCAAUGACCAUAUUGAUUCUACCUCUUUGGGGCUAGCUUCUUCCUGGAAAUUAGCAAUACUCUUCAAGUGAGCUAGUUUCUGGUGGGAUUCUAGGUCCAAGAAUUUGGACCAAGUGUUUGUGUCAUGUGAACCAGAUAAAUGCACAAUGGGCCCGGAAGAUUGCCUGGUCAAGAACGUGCGCGAUUCUGCUGUUGAGACCUGCCAUUUUACAUAAUAUUAACUCAGCUUUUUCCCCCACCGAUAAAUGUCUUAAGAAGUCGUAAAGUCAUUUGCACACUUACAUUAAGAGCAGUUGAUAAUGUCUUAUGAUCGAAUCCAGCAAGAACGGAUGCAGGAUGAACUCCACCGCCAAUGAAGAAAGACUGCAAAAUAUUAUGAGUUACAAAGUUUUGGGAAGAAAAGCAUAAGAUAAGAAAUGGAUCAAAAGACCUUUUUUUGAGAAUUUGACCAAGGCUACCUGGAAUGCAUGCCAUCCCAUGGAUUCUGAGGUAAUAUCAAUGCUGCAAAUAAUGCGAAGUCUCUCGUUUUCAGCUCUAUUCUCCAAAUAGAAAGCAGAUCCCGCAGGAAUUGUGUACACAUCUCCAUGCUUCAAAUGCCUUUCUACUAAUUCAUCCCUAUAGAUAUGGCCAACUCUUGCUUCCCCUGUAUUCAUUUCACGGAUAAUAAGAAUUCUAGUUUAUCAAGAAAAUGACGACUCAUAUAAGAUAUCAGUAUAUGGAAGUUAAAAUGUAAAAGAAUGGAAUGAAAGAGAGAAAUUGGAAUUUUAAUUACCAUGGUGAACAAAGAGGACAAGAUUGGAAUCAAGAUACUGAGGGAUGAAGAGGCUAUUAGGUUCCAUGGAGAUGAAACCAAUAUGCAUUGGACUAUGAAGAUAUGAAUCCCUACGAUAGCCACCCUUCACCAUUCUCAUCGAUCCAGCAUCAGUUUUCACUACAUUAUGCAAGUGACGCAACAAGAACCAUUUUUCUCCCAGUGUCCUUCGCUCACUUUCUUCCUCUUCAUAGGCACCAACAGAGGACACUAGUGCGUAGAAAAGUACCAGCACUAGAAGCAACAAUGUCCUUGUAUCUCCCAUUUAACUUGGAACAAAAAAAGCUAGUAGUAGUUUUAAUUUGUAAGUUUUCUUUAAUGAUCAGUUUUGGUUCACUUAUAACUUAGGUGCAAAUUCUCGCCAUUUAUAUAGAGGAAAUAUUGAGAUAUGAGGGGAGUUGUUGUCAAUCAUUCAAGAAUUUUAGGCUUUCUCUGGUGUGCCAUGAACAUUAAGAUCCUGAAAAAAAAAAAAAAGUUAGUUUGAAAUAAAGAAAAAAUCAUUUGCCAAAGCUUGUAUACAGAAACCAAAUUAUUUGAAACUGCACUUUGAUGACCACUUCAAAUUUAAGGCCUAAUCUAGCGCUACUAAAGAAUGGAUUUAAGAUGUAUAAACUAAUUUAUUUGAAAAAAAUAUUUUUUGCGGCCAUCAAGGUCACCUGUAUUUCCAAUAAACCUAUCUAGUCUGUGACAACAUAUAUUGCUACUAGAAGCCUUUGUUACAAUCACAAUUUGUAAUUCGGAAAAGGGUCAAAUAUAUAAUGAAUUAUGAUAAAUGAUACCAACAUAUCAUUAGUCAUUAUAUGCCCCUCACACUAACGAUACGAGUAUAUGUGUACCAAAAGUAUGACGGAGUAUAUUUACGUUUCAUUUAUCAUUGCUCGGGAGUAUGUUUGUCCCUUUUCUAUUUUAAUUUUUUAACCUCAAAUAAUUAACCUAGACCCAAUAAACCCAUCGAACUCAACCCGUCCAAAUUAAAAUCCAAGAGACGCUUAUUUAAAAGACACAUUUUUUCUACUCAUAAUACAGUGACACCCACAAUUACUCCCUCCGUCCCAUUUUAUAUGUCGUCAUUUCCUUUUUGAUCCGUUCCAUAAAGAAUGUCACCUUUCUUUAUUUUGGUAACUAUUUAAUGACAUGAUUCUCAUUUUAUUUUUAGUGUCCCACUUAUUAAGAAAAGACAACUAAAAAGUAAACAUUAAAAUAACUUUAAGAGGAACAAUUUUGUAAACUUUACAAAGUCAUCACUUAUUUCUUAAACUCCAUGUCCGAUCAAAUAGCAACACAUAAAAUGGGACAGAGGUAGUACUAAUUUUUCAAAAAAAAAAUUAUUAACUCAUAACACCAAAUAAAUUGAACACCACACGUUUCAAUUUUCGGCGAAAUUUCGUUCAAAAAAACACUACCCACUAUCCGUCAACACCACUUAGCUACUGUCUCGGUCAAACCGAAAACACCUCACUGACGAACCAUCGCUGCACUCCUAGCUCCGGCCAGUUCUGACCUAAUCUCCACUCUCUCCAACCUGUAAACACCAACUAACAACAACGAUCAAUCACUGCAAUUUGGUUGGAUUUCACGUUUAAGAGAAAAAACAAAGGGAGUAUUGGAUUUGGAACAAAAAGUAGAGGUUGGAUCGAGUUGGUUUGCAAUCGGGUUCAAUGAGUUUAUUAGAUCGGGUAGUGGAUCUGAAUUAAUUAUUUGAAAUAAACAAAUUAAAACGGAAAAGGAAUAAAUAUACCCCGAACUAUGAUAAAUAGUACGUAUAUAUUCUCCAUCAUACUUUGCGUGGAUGUAUGCCCCUAUCAUUAGUGUGAGUGACAUAGACAUACCAUUUCAUUAACGACAGGGGCAUAUGUAUACCAAAAUAUGACGAAAAAUAUAUACAGAUUAUUUAUCAUAGUUCGAAAUAUAUUUGUCCCUUUUCCUUUUGUAAUUUGCUUGCCAAAACACAGAGAAGAGAGGCAAAGUAAUGAAAAAGAACUUGGAAAUUGUUCUAAUGGGAUUUGAGGGCACUGGCGGAGCCAGGUUUUUACUAGGGGUUUAGAAGUAAGCAUACGAACUAACCGAAGGAGGUUCAAACAUCUACUAUAUAUACAUAAAAAAUAAUUUUAACAUAUAUAAAUAGCAUAAUUUUCUGUCGAAGGGGGUUCGGCCCCCUAUCCAAAGGGUAGCUCUGCGCCUGUUUUAGGGAUAAUUUUAUCAUUAAUCAAGUUAAUGCAUAUAUUGAACUCCUUUGUAUUGCUAAUACAUGGAAAAUAAUGAUAUUAGUAAUACAUAGCUCACUACACAAUAGAGAUAGAGUGUAUAACUAAUAUAAGCAUUAGCUUUACAUUGGCUAUGUACUAAUAUUACAUAAAAACAAUACUUUGUAUUAAUUUUUCUAACAACACAUUAACAAGAUACUAUCAAACCACAAUACAAGCAAAGAAGAAAAUUACAUACUCUAAGAAUGAGCUUACCAUUCCCGUAGGUCCUAAGGUUGUUUUAACCAAGUCGGCAGUUUAAAGACAGUGCAUUCUUCAGCAAUGAUGACACAUAAUAGUGUUUAGCUGCAUAAUUCAUCUUUUCUUUCACAGAGAAGGUAGAAAGCCAUAAUUACAUUUUUCUUACUAUAGCCAACAUUUUCAUUACAUGAUGAGUAGUAUUUUGCUGGACACAGAGUUUAAAAAAGUUAAAACUGAAUUUUGAGCGAUAUUAGUGGUACGCUAAAUAAUUAUGUACAAAAGAUGGAGCAUUAUCUGUUAAAUCCUAUUGUGAAAAAGCUGUUGAAUAGAGAGGAGGUUGUGAUGUUUUUAUACUAUAGUAAUUCCUUUCGUUGCGAUGGGGUAUACUACUCGUUUUUGUUGGGCAGAGUCUUUCAUAUUUUCUGUUAAACCACGACAUAUCAACCAUAGAACCAGUUGAAAAUUUAAAUUUUGUUAUGAAGAAGGACCACAAACAGAAUACAUGUCAAAAAAAAACAAUCCGUUUUAUUCACAACUCAAGAGAAAUGUGUCACAAAGCGACUAAGGAAACUCAAAAAUCGAAUGAAAGGAAAGCACAAAAGAAAAUGGAAGUUCCAAAAGCUGGACAUAACUCAAAUACACUUAAAAACCCAUGUCAAUCUUCAGAGGAGAAUCUGACGAUGAUGAGGGCAAGAUAACUUGUUCACGCUGCGCGUUGGCAAUCCUUUCAAGCCUUUUCUGACCAAUUCCGAAUGCAGCUGCAAAUUCUGGCCCUCUCAAACUCUGCAUCAAUGAAUUCUGACCCACCAAAAACUGUGGACGGUUCCUCCUUGCUGAUGUUGUGAAGCCGAAGAACUCAAAUGGGCCAUUCGUUGAAGCAAUUUGGCAGAAUGGGAAGUACCUUGGAACCCAAAAAACGUCCCCUUCUCGUACUCUGGAGUUCAUUGCCAAAGUCCCAUUCGGAUACACAAUUUGGACUCUGCCAGUCCCUUUCAGCACUACUCCAUACUCUAUUGCUCUUGGAUUAACAUGAGGCGCCAUCAUGGAUCCCUACAUUAACCGAGAAACAUAGAUAAAAUAAGUUUACGUUAACAUGUCAUAGUUGGCAACCUACCAACAAGAAUAAAAAAAAAUCCAUGAUCAUGAAUAAUGAUCGGAUCAUUACCGAAGAUAGAUUGACAAGGUAGACACCAUUGCCGGAUAUUCUUAAAGGAGAAUAAUCAGACUCAUCCAACUUCUUGCUCCAUCCAUAGUCGUUCUGGAAAGCAGGAUUCCUGUUGUAGAGAUUGUACGUUGAUGGAGCUUCAUGAUUCACUCUCUUGACAGCGUCUUCCCUAUUUAAUAGAGUAAAUAGAAUUUUCCUCAAUGACCACGUUGAUUGUUCCUCUUUGGGGCUAGAUUCUUCUCCAAAAUUCACAAUCCUCUUCAAGUGAGCUAGUUUCUGGUGGGGUUCUUGGGCCAAGAAUUUGGACCAAAUGUUUGAGUGAUCAUGAGAACUAGAUAUAUGCACGAUUGGCCCAGAAGAUUGCCUGGUCAAUAAUGUCUUUAAUUCUGAUGUCGACACCUGCCAUUUGUACAUAAUCUUGACUCAGUUUUUUCCACUAGCAAAUGUUGGUAAAUUCCUCGAAUACUUACAUUAAGAGCAGUUGAUAAUGUGUUGUGAUCGAAUCCAGCAAGAAUGGAUGCUGGGUGAACUCCACCACCAAUGAAGUAAGACUGCAAAGUAUUUCGAGUUUCAAUGUUUUGGGAUGAAAAUUAGAACAGAUCUAAUAUAAGAAAUGGAUUAAAAGACCAUUUUAUUGAAAAAUAGCUUAGGAUACCUGGAAAGCAUUCCACCCCAUGGAUUCUGAGGUAAUAUCAAUGCUGCAAAUAAUGCCAAGUCUCUCGUUUUCAGCUCUAUUCUCCAAAUAGAAAGCUGAUCCAGCAGGUAUUGUGUACACAUCUCCAUGCUUCAAAUGCCUUUCUGCUAAUUUAUCCCUAUAGAUGUGCCCAACUCUCGCUUCUCCUGUAUUCAUUUCACGGAUAAUGAGAAUUCUAGUUUAUCAAGAAAAUGACGACUCAUAUAAGAUAUCAGUGUAUGGAAGUCUAAACCGUUAAAGAAUGAGAUGAAAGAGAGAGAAAAUAGAAUUUUAAUUACCAUGAUGAACAAAGAGGACAAGAUCGGAGUCAAGAUAUUGAGGGAUGAAGAGACUAUUAGGUUCCAUGGAGAUGAAACCAAUAUGCAUUGGACUAUGAAGAUAUGAACCCCUAUGAUAGCCACCCUUCACCAUUCUCAUCGACCCAGCGUCAGUUUUCACAACAUUAUGUAAGUGACGCAACAAGAACCAUCUUUCUCCUUGUGUCCUU
RNAcentral lists this long non-coding RNA (42760 nucleotides) under Capsicum annuum. RNAcentral's name for it is "long non-coding RNA (CANN_LNC009173)". The record is from RNAcentral. Lineage: Eukaryota; Viridiplantae; Streptophyta; Magnoliopsida; Solanales; Solanaceae.